RNAcentral lists this ribosomal RNA (253 nucleotides) under uncultured bacterium. RNAcentral describes it as "partial 16S ribosomal RNA". It matches the Rfam family "Bacterial small subunit ribosomal RNA", at positions 524 to 776 of the family's 1533-position model. The record is from RNAcentral.
UACGUAGGGUGCAAGCGUUGUCCGGAAUUAUUGGGCGUAAAGAGCGUGUAGGCGGCCAGGUAGGUCUGCUGUGAAAACUCGAGGCUUAACCUCGAGAUGUCGGCGGAAACCAUCUGGCUAGAGUCCGGAAGAGGAGAGUGGAAUUCCUGGUGUAGCGGUGAAAUGCGCAGAUAUCAGGAAGAACACCCGUGGCGAAGGCGGCUCUCUGGGACGGUACUGACGCUGAGACGCGAAAGCGUGGGGAGCAAACAGG